UAGCAUCUCACAGAGUGUGCUAGCAUCUCACAGAGUGUGCUAGCAUCUUACAGAGUGUGCUCUGUAGGACGUACGGUUAGUGAGGGCUCUGCCGUGCCUCGUCUGACUGCAGUUACGUGGCUGCCGCCUGGCCAUGUUAACUGGGUGGUAAUUUUAGAUUUUUUUUUUUAGUUAAAACCCGUUAUACAUAGAAUGUUUAUUAUAAACUAAUAUAAAGUGUGCUCUACACCACUGGCUCAGAGCUGGGGUAAACAGCAAACCCCUAAACUGUCCUUCUGACUAGAAGACACCUGGAAGUUAGAACUGUGGAGGUGCCAUGGCGGUGGGCCACUGGUGGCUCUCACUGCCACUCCCCUCCUUCUUGGGUCCUCCCCUCUCCGUUCCCACUCCAGCUUCAGGACAGUUUGGGAACUUCAUUUCCCAGUGUCAAGGCAGAGCAGACUGUAGGCUGAGGUCUGGUUUGAUUCAUUUUGGUUUACUUGGGAAGCUUUCUCUUAGGAAACAAGUGCCCGCUUCAUGCUGAGCGUCUGUUUCCACAGUGCGCCGAGGCCCACCUGCUGAAAGGGAACCGCUGUGCCUUGGGCCCCAUGGGUGGUAAUUGCUUAUGGACCAAGGUUACCCUAAGGGGAGCUCGUUAGCCAAUUCACACUUUUCUGGAACACUUCACAGUCCCCCCAAAUGUCUUGAUUCUCUUCAGCCAUUGAGCACACCUGGACAGCCAAGUAGUCAGCACGAAAAGUGGGGGCUCCUUUAGAACCACUUACGGUGCCUCCACUACAAGAAAAAGAAAACAGCAAAAUAAACAAAACCUAAAAGCUCCCAGCAACUCCUUAGAGGAGAGAAGGACAUCUUAAGCAGCCCUUCUCCUCCCUAUUCACGACUGCUUUAGGAUUUAAGUCAGGCGCACGGAAGCCUCACAGUCAGCUGGCUACACUGGGUUUAGAGCAGAGGUACAUCACCCUGCGAGCCCUGCAGAAGUCUGCCACUCCCCUCCGCAAAGGAUGCACAGCCCCUGCCGUCCCGCCUCUGUCCCAGCUGCUCUAGCUGGGAUUUGAACACCAUGACUCUCGUGUCCUUCCCAGUUGAGAUCAUCUUCCCUAAGCACUGAACUCUCACCUGCUAACCCCAGAGGAAACCAUGAAGAUCAUAAGAGAUCCUGGGCAUGGUGACACACUCCUGUUAUCCCAACACUCAGGAGCCUGAGACAGGAGGUAAGCCUGGGCUAUUUAACUUGACCCUGUCUAAAAAAAAAAUAAAAAAGGGUUGUAAAAGAGCUGGCACAGGGUCAUAUCCUUCCACCUCCCCAUGCAUAGAGAUGCAUAGAGUGAGUCCUGUGAGGCAAGCCUUGCUGGUUCAUAGAGUUCCUGUCCAGCAGACUUGUCUCCCCGUUGCACCUUUUCAAGACACCUGAUUACUGGGCAUUGUGGCAUUUGCCUGUAUACAAGCACUUAGGAAGCUGAAGCAGGAGGAUUGCUGGGAGGUUGAAUCUGCCUCUGGUGCCUAGGGAAACCCUGUCUCACAAAACCAAGCAAAAUUCCUGCUCUCCUUUCCCCUGGCCAGUGGAGAAAACCUGAAAGUACAUCUCCUUUGAGCUUUGUUUAAAUGGCCGGAUUCUAGCAUUCGUUCCCGUUAAAGUUCUCCCUAACAUUGGAGCCCUUUGAAUGUCUUCUGAGACCUACAGUCAACCCGUGUCAUACCUGCUGUUUGGCUGCCUAGCAGAAAAUCUAGACUGGUUGACCCACCCAUCUGGUGGGCUCCGGUUUUCUGCUUCCUUGAGUCCAGAUUGUCGAAUAGAAGUGUAUAUGCAAUAUGCACCGUGACCCUUCCCGCUAGGGCUGAUGGGCCACUGUGUAGCCUGCUGCGUGGCCGGCGCACCUGUGGGGGCUGCGGGAGACUUGCUCCUCCCCCAUGGCUGGCAGGGAACGCCCAUCCCGCAGGCCCCUCCCACAGGUAGUGACGGAACCCGCAGGCUGCCUUCUUCAGUUAAGUUCCGUCUUUGAAACUGACAAUCUUUAAAAUGUGAAUACUGUAACAAUAUGUUUUCUUGGAUUGUUGUCUUUAAAAGGAUUUUUUGUGAAGCAACUGAUUUAUCAAAGAAAAAAAAAUUAAAACCAGAAACAUGCCUCGUG
This 2129-nucleotide long non-coding RNA is filed under the name Rattus norvegicus (Norway rat). RNAcentral's name for it is "long non-coding RNA NONRATT017249". Lineage: Eukaryota; Metazoa; Chordata; Mammalia; Rodentia; Muridae. The record is from RNAcentral.